Molecule: ribosomal RNA, 228 nt
Filed under: Oceanicaulis sp.
Lineage: Bacteria; Pseudomonadati; Pseudomonadota; Alphaproteobacteria; Maricaulales; Maricaulaceae
Description: partial 16S ribosomal RNA
Rfam family: Bacterial small subunit ribosomal RNA
Source: RNAcentral
UCAACCUGAGAGUUUGAUUCUGGCUCAGAACGAACGCUGGCGGAAGGCUUAACACAUGCAAGUCGAGCGCGCCCUUCGGGGUGAGCGGCAGACGGGUGAGUAACGCGUGGGAACGUGCCCUUUGGUUCGGAAUAGCCCUUGGAAACGAGGAGUAAUGCCGAAUGUGCCCUUCGGGGGAAAGAUUUAUCGCCAAAGGAUCGGCCCGCGUUAGAUUAGCUAGUUGGUGAG